GAUAUGACGAAAAUAAAAUAAAUCUUUUUUUCUUCUUUUUAAAAAGGCGCCAAAACUUAAUAAACCAUUCAUUAUUUUAAUGAACCAUUCAUUAUUUCAAUUAUUCGUUAAGAUUCAUAUUUAACGAAUACAUUUACUGUCGAAGUGAGCGUGUUCAUGAAUUUAAUGAACGUGUUCAUAGAUUUAAUGAACGUGUUCAUAGAUUUAAUGAACGUGUUCAUUGAUUUAAUGAACCGUUCAUAAAUUCAAUGUAUAGUUAAUCAAAACUUAACGAAGGGCAACUUGCAUGUUUCAGUAAUCACACUUUUAAAAAGUGUAUCAAAUUAUGGACAAGGUUUUCAUAUCAUUUAACGAAUACAUUUAUUGUGGAAGUGAGCGUGUUCAUGAAUUUUAUGAGUGUGUUCAUAGAUUUAGGAACGUGUUCAUUGAUUUAAUGAACCGUUCAUUAAAAUUUAACGAAGGGCAACUUGCAUGUUGCAGUGAUCACACUUUUAAAAAGUGUAUCAAAUUAUGAACAAGAUUUUCAUAUCAUUUAACUUUUUACUAAAGUAAUAAUUUUAUUCAGUAUGAGAAUAAAAUGUUUUGAGACCACAUUUGACAGGUGUCGAAAUAUCAUUUUUUUUAACCGAGUUGGGGAAUCAAAUAAGACGGGGCUUAUUACCUUGUGUAUUUUUUUGUGUUUGUACAUAUUAAGUAGUUUUGUGUUUUGUUCUCAUUUUCAAAGUUUUCUUGCUCACACAAACAUUUAUCUCGGUUGAACAACCGUUCGUAUCAAUGUGAACAGUAGUUAACGAAACAAGGAGAUGUAAAUGUUGUUGAAUGUGAAAACCCCUUUAGUACUUAUUUUUUGGUGUCGUUUCAUCUGUUUGUGCUUUCAACAUGAAAGAAAAUUUUAAGUUAUUUUUUUUUACUGUGAUUGUCAAUAUUCUUACAAUAUCUAUGAUAUUCGAUUUUUGAAAACAUAUAUUUACAAGAUAUUACCUUUUGUGUAUUAACUGUGCUCUUUGCACAUAGUUCACACUUAAAUUUUAAAGAACGCGUAAAAUAAAGUGGGAACACUACUUGUUGAUACGUAGAACGAAAGAAUUCCUUUCGUUAAAUGAUGUAGCCGGCGUCCCCAAGCCAACCCAAGCCAUUCAGUUACAGUGUGAAUGUCUGAUCGAUAAGAGGAGCUAUUCAGCGGAGAGCUGAAGCAAAAAUAAAAAGAGAUUUGUUCGAUUUCCCAUUUGCCGCCGUCCGCCCGUCGCCUGCUGCCAUCACGUCGUUUCAUGCAUCAAAAAUUUAAGUGCUCUUCUUACACCACGUUGCCACCACCACGCUGCCGCCACAUAUUGUCUGCCUCCGGUGUCUUUGUCGUCAUUUGCCACACCAC
This is a long non-coding RNA of Episyrphus balteatus (marmalade hoverfly), 1372 nucleotides long. RefSeq lists it as uncharacterized. The record is from RefSeq and is a predicted model, not a curated record. The transcript has 3 exons. NCBI's taxonomy places the organism in Eukaryota, Metazoa, Arthropoda, Insecta, Diptera, Syrphidae.